Molecule: long non-coding RNA, 410 nt
Organism: Xenopus laevis (African clawed frog)
Lineage: Eukaryota; Metazoa; Chordata; Amphibia; Anura; Pipidae
Exons: 4
Source: RefSeq, a predicted model, not a curated record
CUCCUGUACUAACAAUAUGGUGAAAUCUGUGCAAAACCCUAGAUCCUAGAACAUAUGCCAUACAUAGAAAGGGACAUUGUUCCUGAAUUUUUUCCAUCACCGUUUUCUCACUUUCUGGGUUUUGUUUUAGCUUUCCAAUGCCAAGGACUGUCUGUCAGUCUCCCCAAGAAGAACAAAGGUCAAAGGUGGUAACCAGGCAGCAGUGGGUACAGCGUUGGAUCUUUGUCUAAAGAGGUUUACUCAAGAAAUCCAGAAAAUGGAGAAAUCAGUCUCUCCCUGAUGACCAAUUUUAGUGUGAUCCGACAAAUCAGUCAAAUUAUUGUGAGGGUCAAGCAGGCAGCUACUCACAGAUUUCCAGCUUCAACUAGACGAUAUCGCUUGAAAUGGACAUUUUAUUUGAUGGACAAAUU